RNAcentral lists this ribosomal RNA (472 nucleotides) under uncultured bacterium. Its description in RNAcentral is "bacterial SSU rRNA". It matches the Rfam family "Bacterial small subunit ribosomal RNA", at positions 33 to 507 of the family's 1533-position model. The record is from RNAcentral.
ACACGCUGGCGGCGUGCCUAACACAUGCAAGUCGAGCGGGGUUGAGGCGAGAGGUAACUCGAACUUCUACCUAGCGGCGGACGGGUGAGUAACGCGUGGGCAACCUGCCUCAAGGUUUGGGAUAACAGCCCGAAAGGGCUGCUAAUACCGGAUAUGCCUAUGGCCUCGCAUGGGGCUAUGAGCAAAGGGGAAACCCGCCUUGAGAUGGGCCCGCGUCCCAUCAGCUAGUUGGUGAGGUAACAGCUCACCAAGGCGACGACGGGUAGCCGGCCUGAGAGGGUGACCGGCCACACUGGGACUGAGACACGGCCCAGACUCCUACGGGGGGCAGCAGUGGGGGAUCUUGCACAAUGGGCGAAAGCCUGAUGCAGCGACGCCGCGUGAGCGAAGAAGGCCUUCGGGUUGUAAAGCUCUGUCUGGAGGGACGAACAAAAUGACGGUACCUCCGGAGGAAGCCACGGCUAACUACGUG